AUGUGCAUUGAUGUUACCCUUAAGAAAAUUGAAGGUGCCAUCUCAUUUUUUAAGAAGUAUAGAAAUGAUGGCUUUACAUCCAGUGUGAACAUUGCAAAAUCUAUUGCAUCUGACAUGGAUAUAUACCCAGUAUUUCCUGUAAAACGUCAUGUUAUCAGAAAAAAGCACUUUGACGAAACUAAUGGCAGCAAGUAA
This 195-nucleotide ribosomal RNA is filed under the name Triticum aestivum (bread wheat). RNAcentral's name for it is "partial small subunit ribosomal RNA". The record is from RNAcentral. Lineage: Eukaryota; Viridiplantae; Streptophyta; Magnoliopsida; Poales; Poaceae.